This 1629-nucleotide long non-coding RNA is filed under the name Citrus sinensis (sweet orange). RNAcentral describes it as "long non-coding RNA (CSIN_LNC004236)". The record is from RNAcentral. Lineage: Eukaryota; Viridiplantae; Streptophyta; Magnoliopsida; Sapindales; Rutaceae.
AUGAGAUUCUAUGUUUAUGUAUAUGUUAUUUUUGAAAUCAUUAGACAGUACCCUUCCCUCCAGAUACAGAGAAACAGAUAAUAUGAGAUGAGAAAAGAGAUACAGACAAGAGAUACAGAUAAGAUGAGAUAGAGGCCUUUGGGGCCCGUCGGGACACACAUAGAGGCUUUGGGCCGUGUGUUCGGGCGCUUUUGCCUUUUGGGGGCUUAUGCAUGCACAGUACAGAUAUAUGAGAUAAGAGAUAUGAGAUAUGAGAUAUGAGAUGAGAUCGUCCCCAUCUAUCCGUUGUAGCUCCGGGGCGUGACGUUACCCAGAUAGUACGUCAUUGCCCGUCCGUCGAGAUCCGGAUAUGAUCAGAUUAUUCCCUGGGUACUUGUUUGAUGACAGUUUUUAGUAUUCAGUAUUUGAUAUGAUGAGUAUUAUAUGAUUCCAUCGAUUUUAUGCGAAUAUAUGUAUUAUAGUGUUUCAAUGAACUGAUUUGCAUUAAAUGAGUUUGAGCAAGUUCUUAUGAUAUUUUGAGAAAUUGAAAUUGAUUUGAGAAACAAUUUGAGAAAUUGAUUUGAGAAAGAUUAAAUCAUUUUAAAUAAAUUUAUUAAAUUGUCAGUAACUACUAUCCACUCACUGAGCUCACUGAGUUUUAUACUCACCCCUCUUUUAUUAUUUUAUAUUUUUCCCCCCACAGGAGAGUUACAGGUACAUCAGUCAACCCAGUAGCGAACGUUAGUGUGAUAUUGUGGCCACGUGAUGGUGCUAGGAGUCGUGGAUUUUCACUGUGAGUGGAAUAUACAAACCUAUUUUCAUAGUAUAUGCUGAUUUUAUGAUAAGUAUUUAAUGCUUCGAUUAAAUGAUUUUCCGGUAAAUUAAUUUUUAUCUAUGUGUCGGUCUUUAUUGUUAUUGAGAAUGAGUUUGAUUAAUGAUUUUAUUAGCGUUUUUGAGUAAAGGCAUGAUAUUAGAAUUGAGCAGAUUUUGAGAUAUGUUGAAUAGAAAGAAAAUGAGAUUUCGGAUGAGAUUCUAUGUUUAUGUAUAUGUUAUUUUUGAAAUCAUUAGACAGUACCCUUCCCUCCAGAUACAGAGAAACAGAUAAUAUGAGAUGAGAAAAGAGAUACAGACAAGAGAUACAGAUAAGAUGAGAUAGAGGCCUUUGGGGCCCGUCGGGACACACAUAGAGGCUUUGGGCCGUGUGUUCGGGCGCUUUUGCCUUUUGGGGGCUUAUGCAUGCACAGUACAGAUAUAUGAGAUAUGAGAUGAGAUCGUCCCCAUCUAUCCGUUGUAGCUCCGGGGCGUGACGCUACCCAGAUAGUACGUCAUUGCCCGUCCGUCGAGGUCCGGAUAUGAUCAGAUUAUCCCUUGGGUACUUGUUUGAUGACAGUUUUUAGUCUUCAGUAUUUGAUAUGAUGAGUAUUAUAUGAUUCCAUCGAUUUUAUGCGAAUAUAUGUAUUAUAGUGUUUCAAUGAACUGAUUUGCAUUAAAUGAGUUUGAGCAAGUUCUUAUGAUAUUUUGAGAAAUUGAAAUUGAUUUGAGAAACGAUUUGAGAAAUUGAUUUGAGAAAGAUUAAAUCAUUUUAAAUAAAUUUAUUAAAUUGUCAGUAACUACUAUCCACUCACUGAGCUCACUGAGUUUUAUACUCAC